This 273-nucleotide ribosomal RNA is filed under the name uncultured bacterium. RNAcentral's name for it is "partial 16S ribosomal RNA". It matches the Rfam family "Bacterial small subunit ribosomal RNA", at positions 524 to 796 of the family's 1533-position model. The record is from RNAcentral.
CACGUAGGGGACGAGCGUUGUCCGGAUUCAUUGGGCGUAAAGCGCGCGUAGGCGGUUCGGAAAGUCGGUCGUGAAAUGCCGGGGCUCAACCCCGGGACUGCGUCCGAUACUUCCGAACUGGAGGCAGGUAGGGGAGAUCGGAAUUCCUGGUGUAGCGGUGAAAUGCGCAGAUAUCAGGAGGAACACCGGUGGCGAAGGCGGAUCUCUGGGCCUUGCCUGACGCUGAGGCGCGAAAGCUAGGGGAGCGAACAGGAUUAGAAACCCCCGUAGUCC